CAGGACUCUGUGUGUCUUGGUAUUUUGGCUCAUUGGCUCCUGCUUGUGUUACUUAUCAGACAGGCUCUUUCCAUAGGAUAGCAGGAUGAUUAUGUCAGCCUUAGACCUUUAUCAUCCUAAGGGUGUAAGAGCCCAGAUUAAAGGGAGCAUCCUUCAUGAGAGCUCUGCCCAGAAUUCAUAGGGAGGAUUCUGAUUGGCUGGAGCAGUGGGAGGGACAGAAUUAUCCCAUCAGAAUCCAGGGACAGAGGACAGGUUUUUUUUGUGGGUGGCAGUACUCUAAAUAAAGUGACACUGAACAGACAGCCCUAUACCCCUUAGAGGGGGGGAACUGGAGGUUUGCUCUGAGUAGCUGCUUAAUCUGACUGUGGGGAAAUCUUUCUUAUUAAGUUCAGGAUCUUCUUAGAGAGUUGUAAGCAUCAGGGACUGGCAAACUUUUCCUGUAAAGGGUGGGACAGUCAAUAUUUUAGGUUCAUGGAACAUGUGAUCUCUGUCACAGUUACUCAACUCCACUGUUGUAUCAACAAAGUAACCACACACAAUAUGAAUUCAAGUGAGCAUAGCGGAAACUCUGUUUACAAACACAGCUGGUAAGUUAGAUUUGCUCCCUGGGCAGUAGUUUGUUGACCCCUGUUCUGGAUAAGUGACCUUGGAAAGUUGGGUGUAUGGUCAGACCAUUGCAGAGAGUUCAAACAGGACAAGUUUAGGGGAGUACACAAAGGAGGAAAAAGAAAGUACAGUGACACUACAUGGAUAUGUAGAGUUCACAGAAAGAGACCAAGGAGCUAUCCUGGACCAUAUAUUACAGUAUUCUGGACAUGAUGGCCACUUCUUGAACAAAUCCAGAGAACAUCCUCUGAUAUACCUACAUGUGUUGAAAACAGGUUCAGCACUCCGCUUCAAUUCCCCAGCAAAUGCCAGUAUGGAAAAAGGUUUUGUUGUCACAGCAUCCUGAUGCACCGUACAAUUGAUGGCCUUCUGCAAUCAGUAUGGGCCAGAAGCAGCCCGCACAUAGUUGUCUUUGCCUCCGCAUACCCAGCCUUGGUCAUUGCUGGUGAAGUUUGCAUUUCGCCUGAGCUACGUGCAUUGUUGGGACUAUGUGUGAGCCCAGAAAAUCAUGAAAAUAGAGCUGGAAAUUUGCUCUUAGAGAAAUGAUCACACUUCUUCUUGCAAAGCAACCCCCAAGGGCUUCAUGGACCUAAGGAAAGAAAACUCCCCUACAGCCAUCCUAAUGGGUACGAGCAUGACCUCAUCCUAACUAAUUGCAUUUGCGAAGAUCCUAUUUGCAAGCAAGGUCACGUUCUGAGGUUCCAGGAAGGACAAGGAUCUGAAGAUCAGUCUCAGAAUGGGGUCCGUCCAACACAUCUGUGACUCUAAGUAGCCCAGAGAAAUAAGGUAAGACUUUACUCGAUGUCUCUGAAGGGUAUUGUGAUGGGGGAAAAUUGAAGCAGGUACAAUGAGAACUCCAAGGAAAGUUUGAGCAUUGUAAAAUGGAUUUUGGAUGUUUUGUUGUGUUUUCAUGAUUAAUAUUUCCUUCCCAGUCUCUACAGAUGAUAAUAGGAUAACAACCCUUCUCGUUUGUCGUCUGUGCUAACUGUCCUUCAACAUUCCUUCUCCCCUAAUUCGAUACCCAUGGGAUUAUCAGUUUGGCUAUGGCAGUUCUUCUAAAGACGACAUUUCCCAGACUCCCUUGCAUUUGAUGUAGCACUGUGACCACAUUCUCGCCAAUGGGGCGUGUCUGAAAGUGAUGCACAUAACUUGCAGAUUGUGGCCCUAAAGAGAGUGUUUCCUUUUCUUUCCCCAUCCGUCUUAACUAGAAUAUACUAGAAUGUGGGAACUAGAAUUGUCUUCUUGGACAGCAAGAUGGAAGCUAUGCCUAGGACGGCAGAGCUACAGAAUAGAAGGAAGCUGGGUCCCUGGUUCUGGGAAUCCAGUUCCAGACACCCUGCCUAGGUUUCUCUGCAAGAAAAUUAUACUUCUGUCUAGUUCAAUAAAAGUUUCUCUGUUAGCGCAGCCAAAUCUAAAUCCUAACAGCACACCUUCUCACAAGUUUAUACUCAGUCCUCGUUGGCCUUAUGUUCACUCUGUUCUGUGAUCCACUGACCCGGCAUCUUGGUGAAUGCCUUAUCAUACAAAGGAGGCUGACCUCCAUCCCUGCUGCCACAUCCUCGGCCCAAGCCCGUAUGCUCCCA
Long non-coding RNA from Felis catus (domestic cat), 2189 nucleotides. RefSeq lists it as uncharacterized. NCBI's taxonomy places the organism in Eukaryota, Metazoa, Chordata, Mammalia, Carnivora, Felidae. The record is from RefSeq and is a predicted model, not a curated record. The transcript is spliced from 5 exons.